Molecule: ribosomal RNA, 254 nt
Filed under: uncultured bacterium
Lineage: Bacteria
Description: partial 16S ribosomal RNA
Rfam family: Bacterial small subunit ribosomal RNA
Source: RNAcentral
UACGUAGGGGGCAAGCGUUGUCCGGAUUUAUUGGGCGUAAAGAGCGUGUAGGCGGUUUGGUAGGUCCGCUGUGAAAACUCGAGGCUCAACCUCGAGACGCCGGUGGAAACCAUCAGACUAGAGUCCGGAAGAGGAGAGUGGAAUUCCUGGUGUAGCGGUGAAAUGCGUAGAUAUCGAGAGGGACACCAGAGGUGAAGACGGGUUGCUGGGCCGACACUGACGCUGACAGCGCGAAAGCCAGGGGAGCAAACGGG